UAGGGAAUCUUCGGCAAUGGACGGAAGUCUGACCGAGCAACGCCGCGUGAGUGAGGAAGGUUUUCGGAUCGUAAAGCUCUGUUGUAAGAGAAGAACGAGUGUGAGAGUGGAAAGUUCACACUGUGACGGUAUCUUACCAGAAAGGGACGGCUAACUACGUGCCAGCAGCCGCGGUAAUACGUAGGUCCCGAGCGUUGUCCGGAUUUAUUGGGCGUAAAGCGAGCGCAGGCGGUUAGAUAAGUCUGAAGUUAAAGGCUGUGGCUUAACCAUAGUACGCUUUGGAAACUGUUUAACUUGAGUGCAAGAGGGGAGAGUGGAAUUCCAUGUGUAGCGGUGAAAUGCGUAGAUAUAUGGAGGAACACCGGUGGCGAAAGCGGCUCUCUGGCUUGUAACUGACGCUGAGGCUCGAAAGCGUGGGGAGCAAACAGGAUUAGAUACCCUGGUAGUCCACGCCGUAAACGAUGAGUGCUAGGUGUUAGACCCUUUCCGGGGUUUAGUGCCGUAGCUAACGCAUUAAGCACUCCGCCUGGGGAGUACGACCGCAAGGUUG
RNAcentral lists this ribosomal RNA (550 nucleotides) under uncultured bacterium. Its description in RNAcentral is "bacterial SSU rRNA". It matches the Rfam family "Bacterial small subunit ribosomal RNA", at positions 355 to 896 of the family's 1533-position model. The record is from RNAcentral.